UUUCUCCACUCCGUUGAUGUUGGGCUCGAUCACAUGACUGGCCUUAGCCACAGGGACAGGAGAAGAUUGAAGUGGGCAGAGAUUUUGAAUAUGCUUACAUAGUGUGGCUUGGUUUCCUGUGCUCCAUCACUGCCCCAGGAAGAGCUUGCCCUUGGGAGAUGCUGGUCCCAGCAUGGAGUUAUGCAGAGCAGCCCUGAACCUGGAGCCAAGCCCAGGAAAGCCCAGCAGAACCACAGCUGUGUCACAGGACCAAACACUUGGUGCUGCAUGUCAGCGAGCCUGGAGCUACUUGUUACCCAUCAUCAUCUCAGCAGACACCUGAUGGGCAGAUGGAGUGACCAAGGGAGGAUAUGAUGCUCAAAGCUGGAACAACCAUACUUCAAUCAUGCUAGGAGACAUCAC
Molecule: long non-coding RNA, 402 nt
Filed under: Mustela putorius furo (domestic ferret)
Lineage: Eukaryota; Metazoa; Chordata; Mammalia; Carnivora; Mustelidae
Description: lncRNA (ENSMPUG00000031002.1)
Source: RNAcentral